Molecule: ribosomal RNA, 253 nt
Filed under: uncultured bacterium
Lineage: Bacteria
Description: partial 16S ribosomal RNA
Rfam family: Bacterial small subunit ribosomal RNA
Source: RNAcentral
GACAGAGGGGGCAAGCGUUGUUCGGAAUUACUGGGCGUAAAGGGUGCGUAGGCGGCCUUUCAAGUGGAAUGUUAAAUCCCUGAGCUUAACUCAGGAAUCGCAUUUUAGACUGUUAGGCUUGAGAAUGGGAGAGGAAAAUGGAAUUCCUAGUGUAGAGGUGAAAUUCGUAGAUAUUAGGAGGAACACCAGAGGCGAAGGCGAUUUUCUGGAACAUUUCUGACGUUGAGGCACGAAAGCGUGGGGAGCAAACAGG